RNAcentral lists this ribosomal RNA (494 nucleotides) under uncultured bacterium. Its description in RNAcentral is "partial 16S ribosomal RNA". It matches the Rfam family "Bacterial small subunit ribosomal RNA", at positions 28 to 507 of the family's 1533-position model. The record is from RNAcentral.
GACGAACGCUGGCGGCGCGCUUAACACAUGCAAGUCGAACGGAAAGGCCUGCUUUCCCUUGUGGAUUGCGGGUACUCGAGUGGCGAACGGGUGAGUAACACGUGAGUGAUCUGCCCCCAACUUGGGUAUAAGCCUGGGAAACUGGGUCUAAUUCCCGAUAGGACUGCAGGGUGGUGCCUGUGGUGGAAAACGAUUUUCUAGUGGUUGGGGAUGAGCUCGCGGCCUAUCAGCUUGUUGGUGGGGUAAUGGCCUACCAAGGCGGCGACGGGUAGCCGGCCUGGGAGGGUGGACGGCCACAUUGGGACUGAGAUACGGCCCAGACUCCUACGGGAGGCAGCAGUGGGGAAUAUUGCACAAUGGGCGGAAGCCUGAUGCAGCGACGCCGCGUGGGGGAUGACGGCCUUCGGGUGGUAAACUCCUUUCGACCGCGAGGAAGCCACCUGGUUGGAAGGGUGGUGACGGUAGUGGUAGAAGAAGCACCGGCUAACUACGCG